UGACCUCAAAUCAGGUAGGAUUACCCGCUGAACUUAAGCAUAUCAAUAAGCGGAGGAAAAGAAACUAACAAGGAUUCCCCUAGUAACUGCGAGUGAAGCGGGAAAAGCUCAAAUUUAAAAUCUGGCGGUCCUUCGGCCGUCCGAGUUGUAGUCUGGAGAAGUGCUUUCCGCGCUGGACCGUGUACAAGUCUCUUGGAACAGAGCGUCAUAGAGGGUGAGAAUCCCGUCUUUGACACGGACUACCAGUGCUUUGUGAUGCGCUCUCAAAGAGUCGAGUUGUUUGGGAAUGCAGCUCAAAAUGGGUGGUAAAUUCCAUCUAAAGCUAAAUAUUGGCGAGAGACCGAUAGCGAACAAGUACCGUGAGGGAAAGAUGAAAAGCACUUUGGAAAGAGAGUUAAACAGUACGUGAAAUUGCUGAAAGGGAAACGCUUGAAGUCAGUCGCGUUGGCCAGGACUCAGCCUUGCUUUCGCU
Molecule: ribosomal RNA, 472 nt
Filed under: Fomitopsis sp.
Lineage: Eukaryota; Fungi; Basidiomycota; Agaricomycetes; Polyporales; Fomitopsidaceae
Description: partial 28S ribosomal RNA
Rfam family: Eukaryotic large subunit ribosomal RNA
Source: RNAcentral